This 208-nucleotide ribosomal RNA is filed under the name Litoscalpellum discoveryi. Its description in RNAcentral is "partial 28S ribosomal RNA". It matches the Rfam family "Eukaryotic large subunit ribosomal RNA", at positions 306 to 512 of the family's 3401-position model. The record is from RNAcentral. Lineage: Eukaryota; Metazoa; Arthropoda; Thecostraca; Scalpellidae.
CCAUCUAAAGCUAAAUAUAACCACGAGCCCGAUAGUCAACAAGUACAGUGAUGGAAAGUUGAAAAGUACUCUGAAGAGAGAGUCAAAUAGCCCGUGAAGCUGCCAGUAUGGGAUUAAGCGCACGUAUGACGCGUGUCGUCGGCCAAAUAGGCGACUGUUGGGUGUGCACACUGCGUGUGACUGUUGGCGGGCGUCUACGCUCGUCGGC